RNAcentral lists this ribosomal RNA (468 nucleotides) under Triticum aestivum (bread wheat). RNAcentral's name for it is "partial small subunit ribosomal RNA". The record is from RNAcentral. Lineage: Eukaryota; Viridiplantae; Streptophyta; Magnoliopsida; Poales; Poaceae.
AUGAAGAAUCUGAAGGAUUCAAAGACUAAGAUAUUUCCCUCAAAGACGAGGGGAGGUAAGGAACCACCAUCCAGUUCUGCUUUAGAUUCACCUUCUGUUUUGAGUAAACUUACACCACCACCACAUGCUAUCAAUUCUAAUAUGUCGCAAGUUAUUGAUGAUGCUACUUCUACUAUGAAUGAUGCUUAUGAUGAUGCUAGUACCUUGCUUGAUAAUGAUGAUGUGCCACUUGGUGAUUUUCUUGAUGAACAAAUUGCUAGAGUAAUACAACAUGAUGUUGUUGAAUCUGAUGAUGAGCUUGAAACUGAAACUCCUGAAACACCUGCUAGAACUAGCCUUCCUAGAUAUGAAUUGCCUAAGGUACCGGAAGGUUAUGUUAUGAGUGAAGAAGCAACUAGAGAUAUUCUUGCUUGUAAGGAUAGAGAUGAUCUAGAGAAAUUACUAUGCAAGUAUAAAGAAAAAUUCUGA